RNAcentral lists this ribosomal RNA (375 nucleotides) under Triticum aestivum (bread wheat). Its description in RNAcentral is "partial small subunit ribosomal RNA". Lineage: Eukaryota; Viridiplantae; Streptophyta; Magnoliopsida; Poales; Poaceae. The record is from RNAcentral.
AUGAAUUGCUUGUACCAACGUAGCAGAUUUCGCAUUUAUGGUGGUAGACUCUUUUCCCGCGCAGGCUCGACGAGAGGCCCAUUCCGCACAUAUUGUAAUGCUAUCUCACAUACUGGCGCAUCCUCAAGGCCUAAGAAGGCACGAAGAGUCAAACCCAUCUCGGACACUUGUUUCAUGGCACCCGCUACAGUCAAUCCAAGUGCUGCCGCAGCUGCUAUGAUCUCGGGGUCCUCUUCCGGACCGGCUUUCACUAUGAGCGGGGGGAUCGAUUGUUUCUUAUGCAUCCCGAGCUGGUCAACUUGUUUCCCGCUUUUUUUACUUUCUUCUUUCUCCUCCUUCAAUAUUUUUGCUUGCCUACGAAGUUCAUGUCCAUAG